AGUGAACGCUGGCGGUAGGCCUAACACAUGCAAGUCGAACGGCAGCACAGUAAGAGCUUGCUCUUACGGGUGGCGAGUGGCGGACGGGUGAGGAAUACAUCGGAAUCUACUUUUUCGUGGGGGAUAACGUAGGGAAACUUACGCUAAUACCGCAUACUACCUACGGGUGAAAGCAGAGGAUCUUCGGACCUUGCGCGAUUGAAUUAGCCGAUGUCGGAUUAGCUAGUUGGCGGGGUAAAGGCCCACCAAGGCGACGAUCCGUAGCUGGUCUGAGAGGAUGAUCAGCCACACUGGAACUGAGACACGGUCCAGACUCCUACGGGAGGCAGCAGUGGGGAAUAUUGGACAAUGGGCGCAAGCCUGAUCCAGCCAUACCGCGUGGGUGAAGAAGGCCUUCGGGUUGUAAAGCCCUUUUGUUGGGAAAGAAAAGCAGCAGGUUAAUACCCCGCUGUUCUGACGGUACCCAAAGAAUAAGCACCGGCUAACUUCGUG
Molecule: ribosomal RNA, 492 nt
Filed under: uncultured bacterium
Lineage: Bacteria
Description: partial 16S ribosomal RNA
Rfam family: Bacterial small subunit ribosomal RNA
Source: RNAcentral